Long non-coding RNA from Strigops habroptila (Kakapo), 362 nucleotides. RefSeq lists it as uncharacterized. The record is from RefSeq and is a predicted model, not a curated record. Lineage: Eukaryota; Metazoa; Chordata; Aves; Psittaciformes; Psittacidae. The transcript is spliced from 3 exons.
CUUCUUGUUUGAUGAGUGGAAUGGGCCAACCGAUGGGCUUAUAUGAGUAAAGUUUCAGACAAGCAAAUUCUGUAAGCUUUGCUACACCAUGUUCUGUACCACUUCAUCAGCUGAAUCUCUUGGACAGAGAAAGAAUAUGUUCCUGUACCCCUUAUAAUGUGGCCUCAGGCAGCAGAAAGUUUCAUACAUUCCAUAUGGAGCUUUAUGACUUCAGGCCUAGCCCCUCUGGAUGGGAAGACAGGUGAUCAAGGGAGAUCUGCAGCAAGUCCAGCAGCUCUCACACCAAGGAUUCUGCUGUGCUUGAUGCCUUACCCUUUCUCAGUGAUGUAAAUACAGAAUGCACCAAGAAGAACUUCAUACAG